Molecule: ribosomal RNA, 699 nt
Filed under: Diplogasteroides sp. EI9
Lineage: Eukaryota; Metazoa; Nematoda; Chromadorea; Rhabditida; Diplogasteroididae
Also listed under: 1 other name
Description: partial 28S ribosomal RNA
Rfam family: Eukaryotic large subunit ribosomal RNA
Source: RNAcentral
CAAAGAACUUUGAAGAGAGAGUUCAAGAGGACGUGAAACCACGAGGGGCGAAACGGAUAGAGUUGACGAAACGUUGCGAUGAUCAGCGUAUUCCUGUGCUAUGCUGCGUAUUGGCUGCCAGAUGGGUGGCUGUGCGUGGCUUGCGUUGUGCGCGGGGAUGCGCGCUUUCAUUCGUAGUUGCGCUGAGGCGCUUUGCUGCCCCUUCUGUACCGGCUGUGCGUGGGCGUUGCUUCGGUAGCGCUUGCAUGCUGGGAGGUUGCUGUGGCGGUGAAGUGUUCGCGAUGCUCUCGCGUUUGUGCGGCUUGCGUGUGCGUAUGCGCAGCGUGUUGUUAGUGGCGUGCCAUUGGCGAUGCGUGUGUGUAUGCGUUCUGCGUACGCUGCUCGAGAGUAAGCGCUCGGUGUGAAAGUCGACCACCUAUCCGACCCGUCUUGAAACACGGAUCAAGAAGUUUAGCAAAUGCGCGAGUCAUUGGGUGUGCAAGCUCAUUGGCGAAAUGAAAGUGAAGGCGGACUCGUUCUGCUGAUAUGUGAUCUGUGGCGUUCGCGUCGCAGCGCAACAUAGCCCCAUGCCGGCUGCUUGCAGCGGUGUGGAGGUAGAGCGCAUUUGCUGAGACCCGAAAGAUGGUGAACUAUGCCUGAGCAGGAUGAAGCCAGAGGAAACUCUGGUGGAGGUCCGAAGCGGUUCUGACGUGCAAAUCG